UACGCGGGCGGUUUGUUAAGCGAGAUGUGAAAGCCCCGGGCUCAACCUGGGAACUGCAUUUCGAACUGGCAAACUAUAGUGUGAUAGAGGGUGGUAGAAUUUCAGGUGUAGCGGUGAAAUGCGUAGAGAUCUGAAGGAAUACCGAUGGCGAAGGCAGCCACCUGGGUCAACACUGACGCUCAUGUACGAAAGCGUGGGGAGCAAACGGGAUUAGAUACCCCGGUAGUCCACGCCGUAAACGAUGUCUACUACAAGCUCGGAACCUCGGUUCUGUUUUUCAAAGCUAACGCAUUAAGUAGACCGCCUGGGGAGUACGGCCGCAAGGUUAAAACUCAAAUGAAUUGACGGGGGCCCGCACAAGCGGUGGAGCAUGUGGUUUAAUUCGAUGCAACGCGAAGAACCUUACCUACACUUGACAUACAGAAAACUUUCUAGAGAUAGAUUGGUGCCUUCGGGAACUCUGAUACAGGUGCUGCAUGGCUGUCGUCAGCUCGUGUUGC
Molecule: ribosomal RNA, 500 nt
Filed under: uncultured bacterium
Lineage: Bacteria
Description: bacterial SSU rRNA
Rfam family: Bacterial small subunit ribosomal RNA
Source: RNAcentral